Molecule: long non-coding RNA, 1169 nt
Organism: Myotis daubentonii (Daubenton's bat)
Lineage: Eukaryota; Metazoa; Chordata; Mammalia; Chiroptera; Vespertilionidae
Source: RefSeq, a predicted model, not a curated record
UCUAAAGGUCCCUAGGUAAUUUUAAUGUACAACCAAGGUUGAGAACCACUAGACAACUAAUUUGAUAAAGUACUAAUAACCAUUCUAAUUACAACAUUUUUAGGUUUGUGAAAGGCAUGCGAGUUCUUUUUGCAUAAGGAAAUUUGUCAGACUUCAGAACAUCUUUUGUCCCUCAAACUCUUUUAUUCCCGUGUGUCAUUAAAAAAAUAAUCUGGCAUGUUCAGGACUGGAACAGAGAGCACGAAGCCUUCUUAUCCCCAUUCAUCUUGGGCUUCAACACCUUCCUAUGAACUACCCUUUGUUGGCAUUCACCCCAUUAUACUAUUCCUUCUCUCUUCCUAUUAUGGUCUGCACCUCUAAUUUAAGCUGUGGGGGAAGUGUCUCACCUAGUUCACAAGAGGGCUAACUUCACCACUCUCCAAACAGGUCCUACUUUUCAUAAUUGGGGCUAAAAAUAUUUUUUUCAUUAACAAAGUUACUAAUACAACCACAUACUGUUUUCAGACCUUUUCCUUGGUUUACUUCACUUCAAUAGGAUUAAUUUAUCAAAAAUCCAAACGUGGAACUUUGCAACAUCCCUAAUUUAGUCAGUCUCCUCUGUAAACAUCUGGAAUUCUCUCAUCACAGUCAGGUAUAAAUCCAUAUCCAGCUUUCUCUCUCGUUUAACUGACCAAAUUUGUAAUUUAUGCCAAACUCUUUCUAAACACUAAAAGUUCUCCAACAUAGAGCCCAUAUUAAGUCAAAACCACCACAGUAUCAAUGAUAUCUGUUCUCUGUGAAGUACAGCGUUGAUAAAGCCUGUGAAGUACUUUUCAAGUUACUUAAUUGCCCAUACUCUGCAUAUUACGUAUAACUCAUUUACUGGUUACCCUCAUUUCUAUCAUAGCUGUUUUACUGUUAAUUGGUUUCCUCGUUACCAAGGUGAUCUGAACUAGGGUCCAGAAAUUCAAACCCCAUUUGACAUUGGUGUAUUUUAGGGAUUUUCAACUGGUAUGCCACAAGAACUCUUAAAACAUACAAUACCUGACUAUUUAGUCAGGAAUUCUGAUCUCUUUUCCCUAAGACUGUCAAACAUGACAACAGCCAACACAACAGCUGUCCGGUGUGAAUGAAACAAAAUCUACUGGGAAUCCUCUUUUCAACUACCUUUUUUGGUCACAUCAGCAAAA